ACUAGGUGCUGCUGCCGCGGCCGCCAGGGAGGGAGGUGUCGGAGGGCGGGCCCCGCGCGGUGCUAGGGUUCCGUCUGGACUGGCGGUGGUGGGUCCCAACCGGCGGUACCGGGUUCCUUCCCGACCAGCGGUGCUAGGUUCGGUUCGGACGCGCGCUGCUGGAUCUAAAUGGGCAGUGCUGGGUCCGAUGGGUGGUGCUGUGUUGGGUCCGGACGCGCGGUGCAGAGUCCGGACGGGCGGUGCUGGAUCCAAAUGGGCGGUGCUGGAUCUGGACGGGCGGUGAUGGGUCCGAUGGGCGGUGCUAUGUUCGGUUCGGACGGGCGGUGCUAGGUCUAAAUGGGCGCUGCUGGGUCCGAUGGGCGGUGCUGCGUUCGGUCCGGACGGGCGGGGACGGGCGGUGCUGGGUCCAAAUGGGUGGUGAUGGAUCUGUGGACGGGCGGUGCUGGUUCCAGACGGGCGGUGCUGGGUCCAGACGGGCGGUGGGUCCGAUGGGCGGUGCUAGGUUCGGUUCGGAUGGGUGGUGCUAGGUCUAAAUGGGCGGCGCCGGAUCCGAUGGGCGGUGCUGGGUUCGGUCCGGACUGGCGGGUCCGGGUCUGGACGGGCGGUGCUGGAUCCAAAUGGGGGUGCAGUGCUGGAUCUGGACGGGCGGUGCUGGGUCCGAACGGGCGAUGGGUCCCAUGGGCGGUGCUAGGUUCGGUUCGGACUGGCGGUGCUGGGUCUAAAUGGGCGGCGCUGGGUCCGAUGGGUGGUACUGGGUCCGGACGGGCGGUUCUGGGUCUGGACGGGCGGUGCAGUAUCCAAAUGGGCGCUGCUGGGUCCGGACGGGCGGUGCUAGGUUCGGUCCGGACGGGUGGUGCUGGGUCUAAAUGGGCGGUGCUAGGCUCAGCAGGGGACCGGUGGGCGUGGCGGCACAGGUACGGAGCGCAGGGCCGGUGGAGCGCCCUCUCCGAAGGGCCCUGCGCUCCCCGCGCUCGCUGCUCCUCCUGCCCGCGCAUUGCCCCGGGGCUGCUGCGUGUUUCUUCCAGGGUGAUUCCUUUCCGCUGGGUCACUUCAAAGCCGACCUUUUCAAGCUGUUUUCUUCCGCGGAGGACACGUUGUUAGGCUUUGUGUGCAUUUCAAGGGUCAUGUUUUCUGAACCGCGCUCUGCCGCUCUUGGGGUGUUCGAGCCCCCACACUGCUGUGCGGUGUUCCUCUCACAGAGUGAGGUUGGAGGGUCCCACUCCCUUUGUGUGUCUCCUUAGAAAACGCCUCUUCUCUCAGACACAUCGUUAUCUGCCAAUUCUUCGCAGACGUAGAGAACGGACUGCAGAGUUAAUAAACGUCGAGGGGAAGCUUUGAUGCGCCCCAUUUGGCCCUGAGAGAUGCCACGUGAUCGUCAUUUUAAAUCCUUUCCUGGGCUUCCCGAUGGACUCGAGUUUUUACUAUGUGAGCAUCCCGGUGCCUGCACAGCAAGGACUCUCAUUGGGUUCCACACGUGCUGCGCAGAUCCCUGACGCAGCGUUCACUGAACCUCAACUGCAGGAGCUUCAUUCCUGAGGACGCUGUUACCAAGAAUGACUUGCCUCUUGAAGAAUGAGUUUGCAAAGCCGGCAGUUAGAUUGCUGAUGUCCAAAGACAUGAAAAUUUCCAGGCUGACAAAUAAUUUCGCUGUCAUCGGUCAAGACUCCAGGAUGAUAUUCUGAGCCAUAUGUUAAUUUUGAUAACCACCUAGAACAAUAAAAGGUAAACAUGCUACCA
This is a long non-coding RNA of Homo sapiens (human), 1737 nucleotides long. Ensembl annotates it as AFDN divergent transcript. Its record names the gene AFDN-DT. NCBI's taxonomy places the organism in Eukaryota, Metazoa, Chordata, Mammalia, Primates, Hominidae. The record is from Ensembl.